AUAAAGAUUAUGAUGGAAAGAAGUAACUUUAUAAAUCAUGCAGAGAGCUAGUGUUUGGUGAAAACUAGUUGAGGAUUAAAGUGAAAUACAUUCCUGAAUUUUAUACUGAAAGGUUAUAUGCUUAGUAGGUGGCUACGGAUAUCUCAACGUUAUAGGGAAAUGAGCGAAUAUGAUAUUAUCAUAUUAACUUGGGUGGUACCACGGAAAAUUUCGUCCCUUUA
RNAcentral lists this non-coding RNA (221 nucleotides) under Clostridium botulinum. Its description in RNAcentral is "T-box sequence". It matches the Rfam family "T-box leader". From Rfam's summary of the family: Uncharged tRNA acts as the effector for transcription antitermination of genes in the T-box leader family. T-boxes are found upstream of many aminoacyl-tRNA synthetase genes and some amino acid biosynthetic genes usually in Gram-positive bacteria. The anticodon of a specific tRNA base pairs to a specifier sequence within the T-box motif, and the NCCA acceptor tail of the tRNA base pairs to a conserved bulge in the T-box antiterminator hairpin. The record is from RNAcentral. Lineage: Bacteria; Bacillati; Bacillota; Clostridia; Eubacteriales; Clostridiaceae.